This 1419-nucleotide ribosomal RNA is filed under the name uncultured organism. RNAcentral describes it as "16S ribosomal RNA". It matches the Rfam family "Bacterial small subunit ribosomal RNA". The record is from RNAcentral.
GAUGAACGCUAGCGACAGGCUUAACACAUGCAAGUCGAGGGGUAACAGGGUGUAGCAAUACACCGCUGACGACCGGCGCACGGGUGAGUAACGCGUAUGCAACCUGCCUUUGACAGAGGGAUAGCCCAUGGAAACGUGGAUUAAUACCUCAUAGUCUCUUUUUCCUUCCUGGGGAAUAGAGUAAAACGAGAGUGGUCAAAGAUGGGCAUGCGUCCUAUUAGGCAGUUGGCGGGGUAACGGCCCACCAAACCGAUGAUAGGUAGGGGUUCUGAGAGGAAGGUCCCCCACACUGGUACUGAGACACGGACCAGACUCCUACGGGAGGCAGCAGUGAGGAAUAUUGGUCAAUGGUCGAGAGACUGAACCAGCCAAGUCGCGUGAGGGAUGACUGCCCUAUGGGUUGUAAACCUCUUUUCUACUGGGAGAAUAAGCCCUAUGUAUAGGGUGAUGACAGUACAGUAGGAAUAAGCAUCGGCUAACUCCGUGCCAGCAGCCGCGGUAAUACGGAGGAUGCGAGCGUUAUCCGGAUUUAUUGGGUUUAAAGGGUGCGUAGGCGGCUUUAUAAGUUAGUGGUAAAAUUUCGGAGCUUCACUCCGGUCCGCCAUUAAAACUGUAGAGCUAGAGAAUGGACGAGGUAGGCGGAAUAAGUUAAGUAGCGGUGAAAUGCAUAGAUAUAACUUAGAACUCCGAUAGCGAAGGCAGCUUACCAGACCAUAACUGACGCUGAUGCACGAGAGCGUGGGUAGCGAACAAGAUUAGAUACCCUGGUAGUCCACGCCGUAAACGAUGCUCACCGGCCCUUAGCGAUAAGACAGUUAGGGGUUAAAUUGAAAGAAUUAAGUGAGCCACCUGGGGAGUACGUCGGCAACGAUGAAACUCAAAGGAAUUGACGGGGGCGCGCACAAGCGGAGGAGACAUGUGGUUUAAUUCGAUGAUACGGGAGGAACCUUACCUGGGUUUAAAUGUAUGUUGCAUAAUCUGGAAACAGUUUUUGUCUUCGGAGCUAUAUACAAGGUGCUGCAUGGUUGUCGUCAGCUCGUGCCGUGAGGUGUCGGGUUAAGUCCCAUAACGAGCGCAACCCUUACCGUUAGUUGCUAGCAUGUAAUGAUGAGCACUCUAGCGGGACUGCCACCGUAAGGUGAGAGGAAGGGGGGGAUGACGUCAAAUCAGCACGGCCCUUACAUCCAGGGCGACACACGUGUUACAAUGGCCAUAACAGCGGGUAGCUACCGGGCGACCGGAUGCAAAUCUCGAAAAUUGGUCUAAGUUCGGAUUGGAGUCUGCAACCCGACUCCAUGAAGUUGGAUUCGCUAGUAAUCGCGCAUCAGCCAUGGCGCGGUGAAUACGUUCCCGGGCCUUGUACACACCGCCCGUCAAGCCAUGGAAGCUGGGAGUAAAUGAAGUCCGUAACCGCGAGGA